AACUGUAUCACCAUUGCCGCGCCGAUGCGCAGCAAAGAGUACCGAGCUAAUAGUACUAUCGGAUCUCGCGGGAUUGUUCGACGAUAAGCUCUCGCCGAAUUGAAUCUCGUCACUUGAUUAUACGGGACGACGAAGAGAAAAAAAUUAAUUGAUUCAGACUGACUUGCGAUCGAUUCUCGCUUUGGAACGACACUCUGGAAAACAAGCUCAAUCGAGAGCAGCAACUUUCCCGAGCUGUUAAAAAUUUUAAGAAGAAUUGCUGAAGCUGCUGCGUAGGGUGCUUUAAUUGCUGUGUAGAGUACAAAAUAUCUGAUAAAAUGUUACUUAUUGUCACCUUUAUGGUCUUCUAUAUUUAUUGCCGUUGCAAUUUGUUGCAGAUACAAAUUGAUAUUAUUAAUAGCUGCGGUAUAAAGUUACCGAUACUGUAUUCAUUUAUAUAAUAAAUAACGUUCCUAUUCCUAUCGUCGAGACGUUAUACUCCACGCGUAAAAGGUACGCCAGAGAGGAUUUUUGCUGUCGGAGAAAGAUAUACCCGUCUUCAUAGGACACGUAAUUUUGACUCGACGUCCGCAAUUUCGACAUCUCCUUGAGCGAUUUACGCCGAGUGCGAAAACAUCGAGCGAGUUAAAAUAUCCUAAUGCUAUUUAUUCCGGGCCGCGGUGUAAACAUCGGCGCGGUAAAUACUGGCGGAAAUAGCAUCGUAUUCGCCGCGUUCGGAAACGAAUCGCGAGUGUCGCCGAUCAUAUGAUUCAUUUGCGCGUGAUUUGUUUACUGUGGAAAUUCCAUCCGGAUGGAUGCCGAUGUUCGCGAUGCUAUUAUCUGAGACACCGAGUCUGCCACGAGCUGUCAUCAUUGUCAGCUCGUAAGAGACGUCACUCGACACCGCUUGUUGCCCGUGUCAUUUAUCACGAGAGCUAUCCCGACUAAAUCUUGGCACGCACGUCGUAGUAAGAGCGAAAGAGUUUCAUUCAUAAAGCUCCGCUCGAGCGUUUCUGAAGAUCGCGACUGGCUGCGGAGUUCGCCGAUGUUUAGGGAAGUGGUUUGAGAGAAAAUUGUGUUCUGACUUGCAUCGUAACACUCGUAAAAGUGAAUUGAGAAGAUCAAAAGGGAUAAAGUUCCGUAAAGUAGGUACGUACCCCCGAUUUUUUCGAAACUCAGAUAUUCCUACGUAUUUUGACGCGCCGAUUACGAGUAUCGUAGUGAAAAUGAAAAGUAUUUCAAUUGACUGAAUUACCGAAGAAUGUUUUAAUACGCAAUGACGUGAAAACUGAUUGUCUCGAACAAUAGCUCGGGGCAUUUCUUUAAGGAUUCGAGAACAUGAUAUAAGUCAAAUCUUCUUUAUAUUGUAUAUUCGGAGAAGAGAAAAUAGGUACGAUACAAAUGUCCCAUGAAAUGCUCAACACGUACAAAUCGCUGUAUCGUCUACCUGUUUGCUUCUGUUCCAAAACGACUGAAUGGCUUGCUGGCAUGUCGAAGAAAGAGUCCCGUACGUUCUGCCAGACCCUUGCUCC
Molecule: long non-coding RNA, 1511 nt
Organism: Vollenhovia emeryi
Lineage: Eukaryota; Metazoa; Arthropoda; Insecta; Hymenoptera; Formicidae
Exons: 3
Source: RefSeq, a predicted model, not a curated record